GGGCGAGGGGCGGGGCCGCCCAGGGCGCGCAUGCGCUUUUCUCCAGAGGCGCCAGUCAAAGAAGAGGGGGGGGGGGUGAGUCUCCGUGCUGCUCAGGGCGCCUCGAGUUCUUCUUGCAUUUCUUCCUCGGAGGCGAUUGUUACCCCGCUUUUCUCCCGCACCCACCCAAAGCGGAUAGCAAUACAAUCGAACAUACACAGUACAAAUCAAAACAGACUCCGUUCAGUGAAGGCCAAGAGGGAUCCUCUCCCCUCGGCAGCAGUCUACCGUUGACCAUGUAGCUGUGGACAAGAAGUCUACACAGGGGCCCCCAAGGGCACCGGAUGGGCCUGCCCUUGGGAUACUGGUGGUGCUGGCUCUCCUGACAUCCCCCCUCCCCACUGGAAUAGGAUCACUUUGGAAUGAUUGUGUGUGCAAUUAUAAUAAUAAAACCUUCAUUGUAUUCCGCCCUAUCUCCCCAUUUUCUAAUUUACUGAUUUUUUAAGCUGUGCUUUGUUUAGACUUAGGUUGUGAGGGAUCCUUAACUGAGAGAAGGGUGACAUCCCAGGAUUUGUAGUAAUGUAAGUCUUCAGAAUGACCGGCCUUAGUGCCUCCCCAGACUACAAAUCCCAGAAUUUCAUAGGCUGGCAUCACAGCAGUUCAAGUGGGAUCAAAGUACUACAAUUGCAUCCUGUGAAAAAGAUCAAUUUACAAAACAGGGAACAUUCCUAGUAAACUCAGCGCCAACGACUUCUGAGUAAUAGGAUGUGAACAUAGGAUGUGAUUGUAAGGUGGCAGUUCUACUACUUACAUUUGGAUCGUUUCCAUAGUUAUUAAGAAAAAGAAAUCUUGUCUGCUUCUCCCUAAAGCAUAAUAAUAAUAAUAAUAAUAAAAGGCCACCCUACUGGGAUCUGCAGCAUCAUCCGAAAAUACAUCACACAGUCCUAGACACUUGGGAAGUGUUUGACUUGUGAUUUUGUGAUAUGAAAUCCAGCAUGUCUAUCUUGUUUGCUGUGUCAUAUAAUAAUAAUAAUAAUAUAAUAAUAAUAAUAAUAAUAGAUUUUAUAUGCUUCUCCUUAAAGCAUCAUCAUCAUCACCACCACUCCACUGAAACCAUUUGGACUUCAGCCGGUAUCCGUAGAACGAAAACAACUUCUCUGGAACAGCACAAGAAGGAUACGUUUCGAACCUUGGACUGCUGCCUACAACCCGCACUGUUGGCGAGGCGCAUCCCUUUGCCACCGUGGUGCCUUCCCCUUGCGGAGAGCACCCAGCUCUGUAGUGUUGAAAGUCUACUGAGGCAUUCCGCUCCUUAUGAGGAUGAUAAUCACGGUAAUUACAGCAUUAACCUUCCCAAGAGAGCCAAGAUGUUUGGUGGCCCGGAUAUGCACCGGAAGCGUACAAGUGGCCAGGAGGUGUGCUUUGGAAGCCACUUGCUCUGGAGUAGUCUGAUGAGAGCCCCUUGGGUUUCCUGCAAGGGAAGGGAAGCCAGCCAGCAGGCAGACGUCUAUGCUCCCCCAAAAUACAGAUCCCAUAGGAGAGGACCGUAGCAACUAAAGAGGAAUCAAUGGGUCUCAAUUAGGCAGUGUGGCUCUCCACUAGAAAUCCCAAGACUUGGUCAGAUGUUGCCAAGGCAGAGAAAGUGGGCUCAGCCCUUGGUAACUGCAUAGAGCAAAAGAGAGUGAAGAACAAAAUAGGCAGCCCACUCUGAAGACCCCAAGGUGGCUUGUCAUUAAAAGGACAAUUCAUGAAGCUCUAACUUGAGCUGUUAGCUCCUGCCCCCAAAUGGAGACACAACUGGGAUUAAGUGAAGGUAGGGUAUCUCCCCCUCCAGCCUCUUCUAUUCCCAUUCUGCAUCCCUAUGCUUAAUAUGGUCAGAUAUACAUGCCCUGCAUUGUACAGAGACCCUUUUCCCUGAAAUUAAAAGUGAUGUAAAGGAAAAGGGAAAAAGAGGAAGGCAGAUCUAAUGAGAAAGCAGUGCCACCCUGUGGCCCAAGAGGAAGGUUGCACCGCUUGAAAGCAAAGGCUUUUCUUGUUGACAUGCGCUCUGGCAGCAAGCAACACUGAGCUGGAAAUCUGCCCUCUGGUGGGCAAAGUCACUGCCCUGGGGCUGCCUUGGGACUUGGGCACUCUCUUGGCCACACUCAGUGGUAUGGGCUCAUCGCUCCCAUGUCAGCAGGGCACUGAGUCCACUCUGGAUUUUGGAAAGCUUUCACGGAGGUUCUGCAUCCUGGAGAGCUCUUUGAAAGCCUGGCUUGAAACCUGGAUUGGAUUUGCCGCCCCAUUGACCACCACUGGGUGCAACAUGAGCCUAUGCCUCCAGCGACAGAAACAGAGAUGGGCACUGACCUGUAUAGCUAUGUUUGGAUGGACAGGAGCCCUGUCCUGGAUCUAAUCUGGCAACUCCAUUCCAACCUCUUGCAGGGCGUGAGUGCUGCAAAACACUCACUAUGAUUCUGUCACUGGAACAUUUUGAGAGCCACAGGAGCAGUGGAAUAAAAAUGCAUGGGCUGUUAAGUCUCAAACAGGAAUGUUUGUGUUCUUCCUUCUGCUGUCCUCCAUAAUUAAAAUACUGGUAUAUUUCUUUUAUAUAUUUCGAACAUAUUCCUCUCUAUAUUUUGUUUCUAUGCCACUACUCCUGGCAUCCUGCUCGGCAGUUGCAAUAUCCUCAGACAGACCUAACAAUAGCUGAAAAUUCCCAUUUGCAGCAUGACCAACAUCUCCCUAAAGCCCUGCCUUUUCAGCCAGGCUCAACCCAAGGGUUUCUGAGGCCCUGGAGCCUCACAGGAUUCCCUUACGCAAGCCUCACUCUCUCAGCCUCAGGAGUAACAAAUCUUGCCAAGAAAACCCUGCAAUAGGGUCGCCUUCAAUUGUCACAAGAUGACAAUGAUUUAGAGGUACAGAACUGGGAAACCUUUGCUUGAUGAUGCUGGGACUCUGGUUCCCAUAUAGAACCACAAGCAAGGGAUGGUAGGAAUAGGGCUUCACCAAUACCUGGCUCCCAGUUUUCCACUUCCAGGGCUCUUAUGGUAACAAAGACACACUUUGAAACACUGGACAAAUCUAAGAGUGCAAUAACGAGAGAAUGGAGUCAGCGUCCAAAAGCAGUUUUUACAAAGAGCUGUGCGUGCAAGUGGGUAAACAGCACUAUCGCAAGUACAAGGGACCCGUCAGCUCUGCAAACCUUCAAUGAGAUCCAGACUUUUAAAAAUCUAGCCCAGGCCGCUCACGUGAUUGUUCCCUGAGGCAGGGAAGGGCGGCGGGGAGGAAUGAUUUACAGGGAUGAAAUAACAGAGGCCAGGGCAUCGUUUCUGCCAGGAUUUAAUCCAACUCUCACAGAAGCAGAACGCAACAGGAUCACUCCCCCUUUGCCUGGUCAGCAGAAUCUCCCCGGUGAGGCCUCCCUGCUCUGGAUUAAGGAUUAACAUGGGAAUAUAUUCAGGAGGCAAAAGGGUGGGACUUCAGCACACAGGCUUCAAAACAGAUCAAGGGUGAGCGAUGCGGGGCUUAAGGUUUUGUCUCGCUCAACUAGGCCAGGUCUGAAAACAUUUCAGCUUGUAUUAUGAUGUAAUGCUGAUGGCAUUGCUAUCCGGAGAAGGCAACAGACAACCAUUGACCACUUCUGACCACUGCAGUGGCCUUUUGAUAGAAGAUAGAAGAUAGAGCAGUCAUGUCACAAGUGAAUUGCAAGGAAAAGACUGUAGGUGGAACCCCGGCUUAAUGCAGACCACGGAGGACAAUGUGGUAAAUCUGUCCAGAGGGAGGGGACCCCAUGUGGGCACAUACCUUGCUCAUAAGCAGAUCUCAGUCUCCACGCGUAUAAAUAUUCUUCUGCAUUGAACUCAAAGGAAGCAUGCACCUUGUUGUUUUAGAAAAAGGGAAUUAAAAUGUGGCAAGGAAGUCCAACAUAACGGCAUCAGGUGUCUCCCCUGACCAGCCACCUCUGAGCUGAGCAGGAAUUCAUUUUGGAAACAUCCCAUCUCUGGCUUGCAGACUCACAGUACAGAAGAACAACUCUCAGCCCUGUGUGUGUACGAAGGGAAAAGUAAUAGCCUACAACACAGCUUUCCCAUAGAAAGGGUUGUGCGUUAUCUAGAUUAUUAUUAUUAUAUAAAGGUAGGUUCUUUUGCAACCAAGGAGAGUGGAGGAAUAAAGCCAAAUCAAGAGGUUGCUGCAAUUCCUCUGACAGCUGAAUAGCAUUGGGGGAGGCUAGCCAGAGAACGCUGGCCACUGCCGCCGCCGCCUCCUCCUCCUCGCUCCACUCCCACCCUUUCCUUUUUGACAUUCUGCCAUUCACAGACAGCAAAUACCAUUUACAUAAUUCUGGUUUAUUGUGCUUUUGUACAAAACAAUUUCUGUACUGAUUUUUUUUUUUUUUUUACAAAAGCCCCCCACACACAGAAAACCCACCCGCUCGGUCCUGAUCGGGUGCUGGGGGAAGAGGGAGAAGGGUCUCCCGACUCCUACAACCCAGAGAGACACCCCUGUGUUGAGACUCCUGGCCAUCAAAACGAUGGCAACAAGUGCUAUGGCACCCCUUCCCACCCCCAAUCCUACAUGUCGGUUCAAAGCUUUCAUUCCAUCAAAUGGGAGACAAACAAGGAGUCAAUUCAAUAUGGCUUCCAUCUUCUGAAGACAGAGACUGGGCAACAAGAGCCACUUUUAGUGUCCUACAAAUGGGCUGCUCUCCCGGGGAACCUGAACUGCAUGACACACAGUGCAAGUGCUGGCUCUCUGCAACAAUUCUUUCCUAUGAACACUGGUCCCAAAACAACAUCAUAAACCUGAACAUUUGGUCAAGACAGCAGGGUUUAAAGCAGAGACAAUGUUCUCCACGCUUUGCAAGCUCUGCUUUAAUUGGUCACAGGCGCAACAGGAAGAACCAAACCCGGAGGCAGCCUGAUUGUUCCUAUGCAGGGGACAGGAACCCCCCAAACAAUGAGAGGGAAAGUUGAACACUUCCAACCUGAAGAAUGUCAAACCCAGCUCAGGACAGGAAUGGUCAUCAUUAGGCACCCAUCCAGCUGGAGAACAGCAUAGCCUAUGUCUGCCACCUGGAAAAGCUAGGUGCCAGGACCAAAGGCCAAGAGGGCUAAGGGAAGGGAGAACUCAACCAGCGAGCGGCACAGCAACUCCCAGGACUGGGAAAGGAAUGCAAUGCUCAUCACUGGGCAAGUCUGAUUGCAUCAACAGAAAAAUGGCCACUGGCAAACAUGUCAAGUGGUCAAGAAAGGGGAAUUGGCUGCUGCAAGAGAAAGCGUCCAUGGCAAGGGAUACUGACAGAAUCUUAACUCCGGCUUAUUCCCACUAGCCUGGGCAAAGGAACUAAUGGUGGGGAUGGUGUGCACGAUGCCCCAGAUUUCUAUCCUUGCAUGUCUCACAGUCAUUAAACACUGCCUGUGAGCAGAGGGCAUAACACUGCUUCUGCACACCCAUAAAGAAUGCUGUUUGGGGGAGGGGAUUGUUUCAUAUUUCUGUUGCAUUAGCUUUUCCUCCCUGCAAUGCCAAUGAUAUCCUUGGCUCCCCUCCCUUGGCUAAUACGCUCUGGUUCCUAGUUACCCAUCCCUAACCUUGGGUUGUUGGUGUCCGCUGGCUGCAGCAGCCAAAAAAUUCAGCUUCAGGAAGAGGCCAGGUUAGAGAUGGGGAGGUUUU
RNAcentral lists this long non-coding RNA (5631 nucleotides) under Anolis carolinensis (green anole). RNAcentral describes it as "lncRNA (ENSACAG00000003325.4)". Lineage: Eukaryota; Metazoa; Chordata; Lepidosauria; Squamata; Anolidae. The record is from RNAcentral.